Long non-coding RNA from Vombatus ursinus (common wombat), 339 nucleotides. RefSeq lists it as uncharacterized. The transcript has 3 exons. Lineage: Eukaryota; Metazoa; Chordata; Mammalia; Diprotodontia; Vombatidae. The record is from RefSeq and is a predicted model, not a curated record.
AGCUCGGAAUGUUCGACCACAGCUCGGGCACAAACGGCCCAUGUGAACAUUUGGGGUGGAUUCGCUAAAUGGCUUUUCAGAAGCUUAUAGCUUCAUACCUCUGUCAUUAGCACAUGUCAUCACCACUCCAUUAGUGGCCAUCCCAUUGGUGGAGGCAGGAUUUCCACUGGUUGCCCCAACAUGUUUCUAUGGAAGUCAGUAUCAUGACUGGAAAUUCAGCUUUGUUACAAAGGAUACCUCCCUGAGUAAGGAAGAGUGAAGAUGUAUAUUUGAAAUGAAGGUGAUGUAAAAAGAAGAGAUCAAUAAAAAUAAGAUUGAAAACAAUGUAACCAGGGUAAG